Molecule: ribosomal RNA, 434 nt
Filed under: uncultured Clostridium sp.
Lineage: Bacteria; Bacillati; Bacillota; Clostridia; Eubacteriales; Clostridiaceae
Description: partial 16S ribosomal RNA
Rfam family: Bacterial small subunit ribosomal RNA
Source: RNAcentral
ACGGGAGGCAGCAGUGGGGAAUAUUGGACAAUGGGCGAAAGCCUGAUCCAGCGACGCCGCGUGAGUGAAGAAGUAUUUCGGUAUGUAAAGCUCUAUCAGCAGGGAAGAUAAUGACGGUACCUGACUAAGAAGCACCGGCUAAAUACGUGCCAGCAGCCGCGGUAAUACGUAUGGUGCAAGCGUUAUCCGGAUUUACUGGGUGUAAAGGGAGCGUAGACGGCAUGGCAAGUCUGAAGUGAAAGCCCGGGGCUUAACCCCGGGACUGCUUUGGAAACUGCUAAGCUAGAGUGCAGGAGGGGUAAGUGGAAUUCCUAGUGUAGCGGUGAAAUGCGUAGAUAUUAGGAGGAACACCAGUGGCGAAGGCGGCUUACUGGACUGUAACUGACGUUGAGGCUCGAAAGCGUGGGGAGCAAACAGGAUUAGAUACCCUGGUA